CCAUGAUCCAAUGCUUAUAAAAAAUUCAGUUCUCUUUAUGUCAGAGUUUCUUCAUGGGUUAAAUUAUCAUCUUCUGAUUUUGAACAUGACAGAUUAGUGUGCCAGUUGCAUCACAUCAUCUAUGUGGAUGUGUAGAGAGGUGAACAUAUCAGUAAAAAACGAUGUUCAGUAUGUAGUGUCAUUAACACGCAGGCAUGUUUGUCCUGUAGUGGAGGGCGGUCAGCGAGCGAUCAUCUUCAACAGAAUUGGUGGAAUGCAGAUGGACACUGUCCUGUCUGUGUGGCUACACUUCAGGAUACCAUGGUUUCAGUACCCCAUUAUAUAUGAUACCACACAAAACCACACAAGAUUUCCUCUUUGACUGGAAGUAAAGAUGGUGAACAUUGUGCUGCAACCUUCCCCACAUGUACCAGCAUCUGGGGAAGGACUAUGAUGAACAUGUCCUUCCUUCCAUAGUCAAUGAGGUCUUAAAGAGUGUUGUAGCCAAAUUCAAUGCCUCACAGCUCAUGACGCAAAGAGUUCAGAUGUUUCAAUACCUUUGGUAAGCAGUUUCCUACUCAAGUAUUUGCUGAGAUGAUGAAAAGUUUUGUGGGAGACACUUCACAGGGGUCAUCAGGUGGGCACCUCCCUUCUCAGAUGUUUUGUUGAUUUAAGGCCAUUCAGGGGUUACAGCUAAUAUCACACAAACGUGUCAGCCUACUGCAAACUUACGUUGUUUUUUAGUGAACAUGGCAGAAGGAAAAUGAAGUUAAACCAAGAAUGACGCAAUCUCAUAGGCUGAUUAAAUUGCGCGUUAUAAUGUCAGCUAGAGCCAGUGUAGGGUUUCACUUUCACAUAUAUACCACAAAAAUAUUAGUAGUUUUCUCUAAAUAACUUUGUGUUACAUAAUGUCAUUGCAUUGCUGUGAAACUCACUGUUGUAGUGUUCAUUUAGAGCUGUGUGGGUUAAUCAUAGACAUAGUAUUUUAUUGCAGAGACACUAAACACAGAGAACACACUGUUAUUAAAGUGUCAUUGUUAUUUAGUGGGAUCACAUGUAAUGAUACGAAAAAAAGAACAAGAUGUGGGAAAUGUUCACUCUGACAUUGCUUUCACUCCCAGUUGUUUAGUUAUUUGUUUACUUCAGCCAUGAAUUUCAUGUAGAGGUAUCUGACCCUACCUGUACUCUCUGAGAUCAGGUUUCAUUUCUGAUUUGUUGGGAGCUGUUUGAACGUGCUAAAAACUUCAACAUCAUCCUUGAUGACGUAGCCAUCACAGAGCUGAGCUUCAGCAAAGAGUACACAGCAGCUGUAGAGGCCAAACAAGGUGGUGUGUAACACACUGAUACACACAACAACAGCUUUUUAUUCGCACAUGUAGUGAGAUAUACAGUGUAAAGGCUUGCCUGUUCAAGAUUAAGCUGGUCUUGUUGUCCUCUAGCCCAACAGGAAGCACAGUGAGCUCAGUUCUUUGUGGAAAAAGCUAAGCAGGACAAAGCUGAAGGAGAGGCCCAAGCAGCCAAAAUGAUUGUCACUAAACAAAAAGAAGUAAGCUGUCCAGAAAACGUUUUCAUUCUGUGUGUAUGAGGUUGUGUGUGUGCAGUGACCUCUACUUCUGCAGGGAUCAUGUUCUUCAGGUGCCACUUUCUGUGUUUCCGAGGAAUUAAUCCAGUAAUCACUUUUAAAUUCAUUACACACGUUUGUCAGUACAAAUUCAACAAGAUUUUUUAAUGAAGUUCACUCAUGGUUCUUUUAGAUCAUUGUCAACUGUAUAUUGCAGUUCUAUGCAACACAGAGAUCUUUUAUGAAAUUCUUAGUUUAAUGCCCCCACCCCACCACCACUUUGCUGCCAUCAAAUGUAUCAUAGUAAUAUUCAUACGAUCACAAUCCACCAAUUUUCUAAAAAUUACCCAAUGUCUUCAGUGUAACCCUGUGAGACUUAAUCAUGAAAGGACAGCGAAA
Molecule: long non-coding RNA, 1939 nt
Organism: Ictalurus punctatus (channel catfish)
Lineage: Eukaryota; Metazoa; Chordata; Actinopteri; Siluriformes; Ictaluridae
Exons: 5
Source: RefSeq, a predicted model, not a curated record